ACUCUUGAAAUGGAGCAAGUCUGAGGAGCAACGCCGCGUGAGUGAAGAAGGUUUUCGGAUCGUAAAGCUCUGUUGUUGGUGAAGAAGGAUAGAGGUAGUAACUGGCCUUUAUUUGACGGUAAUCAACCAGAAAGUCACGGCUAACUACGUGCCAGCAGCCGCGGUAAUACA
This 171-nucleotide ribosomal RNA is filed under the name uncultured Lactobacillus sp. RNAcentral describes it as "partial 16S ribosomal RNA". It matches the Rfam family "Bacterial small subunit ribosomal RNA", at positions 362 to 527 of the family's 1533-position model. The record is from RNAcentral. Lineage: Bacteria; Bacillati; Bacillota; Bacilli; Lactobacillales; Lactobacillaceae.